Molecule: unclassified non-coding RNA, 385 nt
Filed under: uncultured Phycisphaeraceae bacterium
Lineage: Bacteria; Pseudomonadati; Planctomycetota; Phycisphaerae; Phycisphaerales; Phycisphaeraceae
Description: contains 16S-23S intergenic spacer region
Source: RNAcentral
UCCGGCUUGACGCCGGCAGUCUCGCUAGAGUACUCGGCAUUACCCGUGAGCAACUAACGACAGGGGUUGCGCUCGUUAGAGGACUUAACCCGACACUUCACAGCACGAGCUGACGACAGCCAUGCAGCACCUGUGCUUGUUCCGGUCUUGCGACUGUGGCUCCUGUUUCCAGGAGUUGAUCCAAGCAUGUCAAACCCAGGUAAGGUUCUUCGCGUUGCCUCGAAUUAAGCAACAUGCUCCACCGCUUGUGUGAGCCCCCGUCAAUUCAUUUGAGUUUUAGCCUUGCGACCGUACUCCCCAGGCGGUAUGCUUAUCGGUUUUCCUACGACUGAUACGGCGUCAAAACCGCACCAGUCUAGCAUACAUCGUUUACGGCGUGGACUAC